This 458-nucleotide ribosomal RNA is filed under the name uncultured Alkaliflexus sp. RNAcentral's name for it is "bacterial SSU rRNA". It matches the Rfam family "Bacterial small subunit ribosomal RNA", at positions 920 to 1382 of the family's 1533-position model. Lineage: Bacteria; Pseudomonadati; Bacteroidota; Bacteroidia; Marinilabiliales; Marinilabiliaceae. The record is from RNAcentral.
CCCGCACAAGCGGAGGAACAUGUGGUUUAAUUCGAUGAUACGCGAGGAACCUUACCUGGGUUUAAAUGGGAGUGACAGCUGUCGAAAGAUGGUUUUCUUCGGACACUCUUCAAGGUGCUGCAUGGUUGUCGUCAGCUCGUGCCGUGAGGUGUCGGGUUAAGUCCCAUAACGAGCGCAACCCACGUCGUUAGUUGCCAACAGGUCAAGCUGGGAACUCUAACGAGACUGCCGGUGUAAACCGCGAGGAAGGUGUGGAUGACGUCAAAUCAGCACGGCCCUUACAUCCAGGGCUACACACGUGUUACAAUGGUCGGUACAGAGGGCAGCUACCAGGCAACUGGAUGCGAAUCUCAAAAACCGGUCUCAGUUCGGAUUGGAGUCUGCAACUCGACUCCAUGAAGUUGGAAUCGCUAGUAAUCGCGGAUCAGCACGCCGCGGUGAAUACGUUCCCGGGCCUU